This is a non-coding RNA of Podarcis lilfordi (Lilford's wall lizard), 1297 nucleotides long. The record is from the annotation of a GenBank genome assembly. Lineage: Eukaryota; Metazoa; Chordata; Lepidosauria; Squamata; Lacertidae.
UCCAACAGUGUUGUGGUUCUGUGUGUCUCUGUGUGGGGGUGCUGUCAAGUCCCACUGUCAUAAAGUCGCAACAUGUUUUGCAGCCAGUGAUUUUGGCUUCCCAUUCCAACUAUUUUGGAGAAGGAUGAACUACACUGCAAUUAUGUUCUCUGAUGCUGCGCUACUUGUUAAGAGUAGAAGUCACACACAGGAGCAGGUAGUUACCAUAUUUUUUGCUCUAUAAGACUCACUCCCCCCCCCCUAAAAAGUAAGGGGAAUUGUGUGUGCGUCUUAUGGAGCAAAUGCAGGCUGCGCAGCUAUCCCAGAAGCCAGAACAGCAAGAGGGAUCGCUACGCAGCGAUCCCUCUUGUUGUUCUGGCUUCUGAGAUUCAGAUUUUUUUUUCUUGUUUUCCUCCUCCAAAAACUAGGUGCGUCUUAUGGUCUGGUGCGUCUUAUGGUGCGAAAAAUACGGUACGUAUCGGAACCCAUUCACAAUGCGCUCUCAAGCCUUAUAAUGCACAGUCACUUCAGAUCUGUUUGAUAGAAGAUGGUGGGUUCUGAACCCCAGACCACAUCGCUGCCACAGAUAACACUCACAGUCAAAAACAGGUAUUUUCUCUCCCUCUGCUGUCUCUAUUACUUUCCAUCUGCGCUAUACAUUUAAAGCAGAAUCAUAUCCAUUUAAGCAGUCAUAGAUUCCGCCAAGGAAUCAUGAGCAGUGUAGUUUGUAAAGGGUAUUGAGAGUUGUUAGGAGACCCCUAUACCCUUCACAGCACUACAAUUUCCCAAAGUGUCCUGGGAAGAGGAACUGAUUUCUUAAACCACUCUGUGAAUAGUAGCCUUCUAACAACUCUCAGCACCCUUAACAAACUACACCUCCCAGUAUUAGCCUGUAGUAGCUCUGCCUCCAUAGUUGGUGGCAGAAAUGCUUCUGAAUACCAGCUGCUGUAAACCGCAGGAGGGGAGAGUGCUCUUGGGCUUGGGUCUUGCUUAAGGGUUUUCCACAGGGAUCUGGGUAGCCACCGUAAGAACAGGGGGGAAGCCAUAACUGUUUAAAGUGGUAUGAUGCAGCUUUAAUUGUAUAGUGCAAAUUGUGUUAUAUAUGUGUGUGUUUGCGUGCCUGUGUGUGCAGUAUGCUGAGCAAGUACUGGCGAGACCCUUUCCAGCUAUGUUUUGUGGUUCGAGGACCCGACCCCCGCAAUGUGAAAUGAAUACGCAAGGACACGUGAUAUAAGGUUAAUGGGCAAGAAAAGGCCACAACUUUAUUGAUUACAGCAGUGAAAAGGUAUUGGCUUAGGCAUUGGAUGUCUAAAACAAG